This 84-nucleotide small nucleolar RNA is filed under the name Coniophora puteana RWD-64-598 SS2. Lineage: Eukaryota; Fungi; Basidiomycota; Agaricomycetes; Boletales; Coniophoraceae. The record is from RNAcentral.
CCUUUGUGAUGAUUCCUAUUCAGUUCUGCUUCCGAAAGAGCCUGGCUCUUGUGGACAACGACAUACCAAAAACUCUUCUGACCU